UGGGGAAUAUUGGACAAUGGGCGCAAGCCUGAUCCAGCCAUGCCGCGUGAGUGACGAAGGCCUUAGGGUUGUAAAGCUCUUUUGGCAGGGACGAUAAUGACGGUACCUGCAGAAUAAGCCCCGGCUAACUUCGUGCCAGCAGCCGCGGUAAUACGAAGGGGGCUAGCGUUGUUCGGAAUCACUGGGCGUAAAGCGCUCGUAGGCGGAUUGGUCAGUUAGGGGUGAAAUCCCGGGGCUCAACCUCGGAACUGCCUCUAAUACUGCCAAUCUCGAGUCCGGGAGAGGUGAGUGGAAUUCCUAGUGUAGAGGUGAAAUUCGUAGAUAUUAGGAAGAACACCAGUGGCGAAGGCGGCUCACUGGACCGGUACUGACGCUGAGGAGCGAAAGCGUGGGGAGCAAACAGGAUUAGAUACCCCCGUAGUCC
RNAcentral lists this ribosomal RNA (424 nucleotides) under uncultured prokaryote. RNAcentral's name for it is "bacterial SSU rRNA". It matches the Rfam family "Bacterial small subunit ribosomal RNA", at positions 355 to 796 of the family's 1533-position model. The record is from RNAcentral.